This 417-nucleotide ribosomal RNA is filed under the name uncultured bacterium. RNAcentral's name for it is "bacterial SSU rRNA". It matches the Rfam family "Bacterial small subunit ribosomal RNA", at positions 29 to 489 of the family's 1533-position model. The record is from RNAcentral.
AACGAACGCUGGCGGCAGGCCUAACACAUGCAAGUCGAACGCGCGUAGCAAUACGCGAGUGGCGCACGGGUGAGUAACACGUGGGAAUCUACCCAGAGGUUCGGAAUAACCGCGGGAAACUGCGGCUAAUACCGGAUAUCCCCUAAGGGGGAAAGAUUUAUCGCCUUUGGACGAGCCCGCGUCCGAUUAGCUAGUUGGUGAGGUAAUGGCUCACCAAGGCUACGAUCGGUAGCUGGUCUGAGAGGACGACCAGCCACACUGGAACUGAGACACGGUCCAGACUCCUACGGGAGGCAGCAGUGGGGAAUAUUGGGCAAUGGAGGCAACUCUGACCCAGCCAUGCCGCGUGGGUGACGAAGGUCUUCGGAUUGUAAAGCCCUUUCGGCGGGGACGAUGAUGACGGUACCCGCAGAAGAA